This 448-nucleotide ribosomal RNA is filed under the name uncultured bacterium. RNAcentral's name for it is "bacterial SSU rRNA". It matches the Rfam family "Bacterial small subunit ribosomal RNA", at positions 958 to 1395 of the family's 1533-position model. The record is from RNAcentral.
AACGUGAAGAACCUAGCCACGCCCAAGUCAUCCCGGUGCGCGGGAAGGAGACGAUCGAUCCCUUCAGUUCGGCUGGACCAGAGACAGGUGCUGCAUGGUUGUCGUCAGCUGGUGUCGUGAGAUGUUGGGUUAAGUCCCGCAACGAGCGCAACCCUCGCCGUUAGUUGCCAUCAUUCAGUUGGGCCCUCUAAGGGGUCUGCCGCUGAUAAGCCGCGAGGAAGGUGGGCAUGACGUCAAGUCCUCAUGGCCCUUACGGGCUGGGCUACACACGUGCUACAAUGGAGGCGACAGUGGGACGCAAUGGGGCAACCCUGCGCAAAUCUCAACAAGCCGUCUCAGUUCGGAUUGUGCUCUGCAAGUCGAGCACAUGAAGUCGGAAUCGACUAGUAAUAGCGGAUCAGGCAGCGCUGACGGUGAAUUCCGUUCCCACGGGUCGUUUACAUCACCG